AAAAGCAUUUCAUUUCUCACUUGUCUGGACAGAGCUGUAUAGGCUACAAUGAGCACACCACUGAAGUCCUGUUUCUGGAGCUUUCUAUGGACCUCCUCAUGUCUCAGGCUCACCAGCUGGACCAGCACAUCUUCGGAAACAGAUCCAUAAUUUUCAGCAAUGGAUGGAUUUAACCUUUCAUGAUUAAUCGGGCACCUCUGAGGGCCACUAAUGAAGAAAAGUGAAGACUAAGAUGUAACUUCUUAAGUCUGCAGAAGGUUUGAAAUGAAGUAAACUGCAUACAAUCCAAGCAGUGGAAAUUCUGGAUGACAACUGAAUUUCUGUAUGCAGCAUUAAAAACAGUCAAGCGGUUGGAAAACCAAUUCCAGCUGAAAUUAAGAGUUUGCCUGACUGUAAAUCUGGGUUUUUGGCUACUGUUAUUUUCAAUGUAUAAGACUUGGUGUAAUGUAAAUGUACGAAAUGUGUUAAAUAAAUGAAUUAAUACUACUAAUGAAUAAAUCAAUCUAAGAAUAAUUUCUUUUGUAAAGAAGCAAUAACGGUUGAAUCAGUUGUUCUUUCGUUGUCUAUAGGUUGAGGGGUCCGUGGACGUCUGACAAACGUCUCACCCGCAUCCAGCUAUUUUUAUCUGUACAAAACAAUUCGUUUUGUUGCUUGAUAUUGAAAAUGUGUGUCUUACCAUAUUAUUUU
Long non-coding RNA from Sinocyclocheilus grahami, 687 nucleotides. RefSeq lists it as uncharacterized. The transcript is spliced from 3 exons. The record is from RefSeq and is a predicted model, not a curated record. Lineage: Eukaryota; Metazoa; Chordata; Actinopteri; Cypriniformes; Cyprinidae.